RNAcentral lists this ribosomal RNA (253 nucleotides) under uncultured bacterium. RNAcentral's name for it is "partial 16S ribosomal RNA". It matches the Rfam family "Bacterial small subunit ribosomal RNA", at positions 524 to 776 of the family's 1533-position model. The record is from RNAcentral.
GACAGAGGGGGCAAGCGUUGCUCGGAAUUACUGGGCGUAAAGGGCGCGUAGGCGGGAUGGCAAGUCGGUCGUGAAAUCCCUCGGCUCAACCGAGGAACGUCGAUCGAUACUGCUGUUCUUGAGGAUUGCAGAGGAGACUGGAAUUCCCGGUGUAGCGGUGAAAUGUGUAGAGAUCGGGAGGAACACCGGUGGCGAAGGCGGCCUGCUGGGUUCUGGCUGACACUGAGGCGCGACAGCGUGGGGAGCAAACAGG